UGCCUGCCCGGUGACAAUUGUGUUAAACGGCCGCGGUAUUUUUGACUGUGCGAAGGUAGCGUAAUCAUUUGCUCUUUAAUUGGGGGCUUGAAUGAAUGGCAAGACAGAAGCUAUGCUGUCUUUUCUUUAAUUUCUUGAAUUUGAUAUUGUUGUGAAGAAGCGACAAUACGGCCGUAGGACGAGAAGACCCUGUCGAGCUUUACUAAAAGCAAUUUUGUUUGAUUAUAUUUUGAGGGCUAAUUAUCUUUUUACUGGUAACAGUAGUGUGUAAGUUACUCUUGAGGUGGGCUAAUGGGAAAUUGUUUUAUUGUUUGGUUGGGGCAACCGCGGAGAAUAGUAAUCCUCCGCUUUUUGUGAAGGAAAAGUAACUGCUUUGUUGUAUAAUUAUCUAUUUGGCAGGAUCCACUGUUUAAGUGAUUAAAGGAAUAAGUUACCGCAGGGAUAACAGCGUUAUUCUUUUGGAGAGUCCAUAUUGAUAAGGGAGUUUGCGACC
This 493-nucleotide ribosomal RNA is filed under the name Echinaster farquhari. RNAcentral's name for it is "partial 16S ribosomal RNA". It matches the Rfam family "Bacterial large subunit ribosomal RNA", at positions 1856 to 2525 of the family's 2925-position model. Lineage: Eukaryota; Metazoa; Echinodermata; Asteroidea; Spinulosida; Echinasteridae. The record is from RNAcentral.